Vicia faba (fava bean) is the source of this 213-nucleotide non-coding RNA. Lineage: Eukaryota; Viridiplantae; Streptophyta; Magnoliopsida; Fabales; Fabaceae. The record is from the annotation of a GenBank genome assembly.
AUGUUACAAUAUUCUCUUUGGCAAGGGUUGCAUAACCUCAUAGUAUUGUGGGAUUCCAGUACUCUUUGUGCACACAACAGUACAUUUAAUUACAUAUAUAUUGAGCAGAAUGAACAACACAAAUCAAACAAAGUUAUGAUACAUACAAGGGGGACAAAAGAAGACCCGAAAUUGCAGCUCAAACACUCAACUAAUGAGAAGUGCAGAAAAUGA